GGGUUGUGAGGUUAAGCGACUAAGCGUACACGGUGGAUGCCCUGGCAGUCAGAGGCGAUGAAGGGCGUGCUAAUCUGCGAUAAGCGCCGGUAAGGUGAUAUGAACCGUUAUAACCGGCGAUACCCGAAUGGGGAAACCCAGUGUGACUCGUCACACUAUCAUUAACUGAAUCCAUAGGUUAAUGAGGCGAACCGGGGGAACUGAAACAUCUAAGUACCCCGAGGAAAAGAAAUCAACCGAGAUUCCCCCAGUAGCGGCGAGCGAACGGGGAGGAGCCCAGAGCCUGAAUCAGCAUGUGUGUUAGUGGAAGCGUCUGGAAAGGCGCGCGAUACAGGGUGACAGCCCCGUACACAAAAGCGCAUGUGCUGUGAGCUCGAUGAGUAGGGCGGGACACGUGGUAUCCUGUCUGAAUAUGGGGGGACCAUCCUCCAAGGCUAAAUACUCCUGACUGACCGAUAGUGAACCAGUACCGUGAGGGAAAGGCGAAAAGAACCCCGGCGAGGGGAGUGAAAAAGAACCUGAAACCGUGUACGUACAAGCAGUGGGAGCCCCACCACCAAAGCAUUCUCUGGUGUUGAAGGCCCUGCAAAGCAGCAUCGCGGUGGCGGAGCGUCGUUUGCGACGCCCAACACACAAAACAAGCGGUGAGUGCUUUGGGGUGG
RNAcentral lists this ribosomal RNA (662 nucleotides) under Salmonella enterica. Its description in RNAcentral is "partial 23S ribosomal RNA". It matches the Rfam family "Bacterial large subunit ribosomal RNA", at positions 1 to 596 of the family's 2925-position model. RNAcentral also lists the same sequence under 2 other names. The record is from RNAcentral. Lineage: Bacteria; Pseudomonadati; Pseudomonadota; Gammaproteobacteria; Enterobacterales; Enterobacteriaceae.